RNAcentral lists this ribosomal RNA (253 nucleotides) under uncultured bacterium. RNAcentral's name for it is "partial 16S ribosomal RNA". It matches the Rfam family "Bacterial small subunit ribosomal RNA", at positions 524 to 776 of the family's 1533-position model. The record is from RNAcentral.
UACGAAGGGGGCAAGCGUUGUCCGGAUUCAUUGGGCGUAAAGAGCGUGUAGGCGGUCAGGUAGGUCGGUUGUGAAAACUGGAGGCUCAACCUUCAGACGUCGACCGAAACCCCCUGGCUAGAGUCCGGGAGAGGAGAGUGGAAUUCCUGGUGUAGCGGUGGAAUGCGCAGAUAUCAGGAAGAACACCCGUGGCGAAAGCGGCUCUCUGGGACGGUACUGACGCUGAGACGCGAAAGCGUGGGGAGCGAACAGG